CUGUUCUGCAAGUCCUCCGUUAAAUCCACUCGCUUAACGGAUGGGCUGCGGGGGAUACUGCAGAGCUAGGAGGCGGGAGAGGCAAACGGUACUCAGUAGGUAGGGGUAAAAUCCAUUGAUCUACUGAAGACCACCAGUGGCGAAGGCGGUUUGCCAGAACGCGCUCGACGGUGAGGGAUGAAAGCUGGGGGAGCAAACCGGAUUAGAUACCCGGGUAGUCCCAGCUGUAAACGAUGCAGACUCGGUGAUGGGUUGGCCUCGAGCCAACCCAGUGCCGCAGGGAAGCCGUUAAGUCUGCCGCCUGGGGA
This 308-nucleotide ribosomal RNA is filed under the name uncultured archaeon. RNAcentral describes it as "bacterial SSU rRNA". It matches the Rfam family "Archaeal small subunit ribosomal RNA", at positions 526 to 834 of the family's 1478-position model. The record is from RNAcentral.